Molecule: long non-coding RNA, 225 nt
Organism: Olea europaea var. sylvestris
Lineage: Eukaryota; Viridiplantae; Streptophyta; Magnoliopsida; Lamiales; Oleaceae
Exons: 2
Source: RefSeq, a predicted model, not a curated record
GUGAUCGUUAAGUGGAGGAAAUCCUGGCUUCUAAUUGAAUUUAUGUCCCAGGUUUACUAAAUAUAAUCUGGGAUGCAAACAUGCUAAAUCUAGUCAAAAAAUUUGCGUAGUUUGAAGACUUCUGUUCCAUGAUCUUGUACCAAUUUUUUACAUGUAAUUAAGGUCUUGAGACGGAUAGUGGAUUUCUUCCAGAUCAUCACAAUAAUAGAUUUUUCUUUUUGAAUC